This 266-nucleotide long non-coding RNA is filed under the name Vigna radiata. RNAcentral's name for it is "long non-coding RNA (VRAD_LNC006759)". Lineage: Eukaryota; Viridiplantae; Streptophyta; Magnoliopsida; Fabales; Fabaceae. The record is from RNAcentral.
GGGGAGUGUUAUUUUGAUAGAGGCAAUUGAGCGGCACAAGGUAACAGUGGCAAUACUGGUGUUGUCGUUGGUUGUGACACAUAUGAAGAAUAAGACGGUAGUGGAGUAUGAUUGUUUGGUACGAUUGGUGAUGUCGAGGGCUACAGAAGGACCAUAUUAUGAGUUCUUGACCAUCAAUCAAGGACCAUUGUGUUGGGAUAAACUUAAAUUUUAGGGGUUUAUUAGCAAUUUUGUUUGAAUCUUAUUUUAUUAGUUUGAGUUUGGUA